AUGAGCCUCAGGCCCGCGUCACCGUCCCAUGAGGAGCUGAUGAAGCGCAAACAAGAGCGUAAUCGCAAGAGUUUGGUUAUAGCGCUCAACACAUAUGCCAAGCGAAACAAUAUGCAGAUUACUGAUUUUGAGUUUGUGGAAGAGAAAGAAAGGAAUCUUGUUUCUGGAAUGCUUGGAGGAUAUGUGCAUUCCAACUUUGUGGUGAAAGGUGUAGAUGGCAGACCAACUUUGUUCUUUGCUGAGAUGGAGCAUGAUUGCUUCCAGGAAGAGCACUCUGGUAACUACUUCGCUUUCCUUAUAACCCGAGGAGGCCCACCAGGCAGUAGUUAG
RNAcentral lists this ribosomal RNA (330 nucleotides) under Triticum aestivum (bread wheat). RNAcentral's name for it is "partial small subunit ribosomal RNA". The record is from RNAcentral. Lineage: Eukaryota; Viridiplantae; Streptophyta; Magnoliopsida; Poales; Poaceae.